CAAGACUCGUGGUAUACUUGAAACCUUCCUCCUCCUCUGUUAUCUCAUCCGUUUUAUCCAUCGUCGAAUGCUCGAAUGUGACUGGAUACACACAUCCCUUAUAGAGAUGAGGAUCAGAAAUUGGUUGAUGAAAUGAUACCUUGGGAAAUUAUGGGCUUUACCAGCUAGGGAGCACUGUUAUUCGCGUCGUAGCUGUCCUCUCCUUUUUCCCCGCGUAAGGGGGCCGCGAGUUUCGGUUCCGAGGAAUCGCCCGGCGAUGAAAUAAGGAAUCGGUAAUAAUUAGCGCCCAACGGCGAAAGAUCGGUGACAUAACGUGUUAAGUAUAGGUGAGAUUCGUUUGAAUAAACGUUCGAUAAGAAUCGAUUAAAUCAGGUAUAAUCAUUGAAAGAUCUCGAACCAUCCACUACUGACCAAAGAACUUUCCCUCUACAAAAUUAUAAAAAUCUGUUGAUAAGGAAUGUUGUACGUAAGAAUUUUAUUAUGAAUUUGUUUUUAACACGACGGGGUGUCGACAGAGUGUUACGCUUUUCAUCUCCGACAAAAGUUAUCCGUCGUCUGCAAACUUGUUCAACCGCUGCGCUGGAAACAAUGAUUGAUGCAUUGCUGUAAGUAGGUACGUUAGAAGAGGUAACGCAAGCGAAGGGGAACGAGCAGCGCGUAGAUGAGCGCUCGUUCUCAGUGCUCUGUUAUUAUGUAACGUAAAACAAUAUCAUAAUAUCGUUUCUUGACCAUCAUAAUUAAUUGUGUUCCAUGUGAAAUUUCUGAAAUUAUACAAAUAAUUCCUCUCUUGUGAUUACAUGCAGUAUCCUCCAUGCAAUCGUCGUUUAUUGCUAUUUUAACUGCGAUAGAAGUCGGCAUAUUUUCAUGAAAGUGAGUAAUCUUACGAUAAAAGAAAAAUUGAAAUUAGGGCAGAGUGCUCUUUUUGUUCGACAGUGUAUCUGACAGAGUGCUCUGGGAAAUUCACAAUGCGUCAAUUAGAAAUACUAGCCAGAUGCCUCAAAUAUUAGCUAUAUCAGUUUAUCAAGUGCUGAGAAAGUUUGCGGAGAUUUUUCAGUACAAAAUGGCUUCACAGUUGUGAGCUGCUUACUUUCAGCAAUUUCGUAUGGAGCGUGCUACGUAUUGAUCGACUCAU
This is a long non-coding RNA of Ceratina calcarata, 1132 nucleotides long. RefSeq lists it as uncharacterized. Lineage: Eukaryota; Metazoa; Arthropoda; Insecta; Hymenoptera; Apidae. The transcript is spliced from 3 exons. The record is from RefSeq and is a predicted model, not a curated record.